UCACUCUUUAGCCCUCAGCUUUAGUGAUCUAUCAGUAUGGUGUUUCUCCUGCAAUGCGUAUUUAGAUGCUCAAGUUAUAAUGCCGUUGCAGUCUGUUCAUUUCACUGCCUACGUACUGAAGUUUAAUGAGCCUCCACCUUUACGAGCAGUGGAGUGUGUACAUAUUACAGAUAACAAAGCAGACGGUUCUUCUACUUCUGGGAAUUAAUCCUUUGUUCUUCUCUUUGAUGCCUGUGAUGUUUAGCGAAAACUAAUUUGGAUCAUGGUGUUUUUAUCUCGAUGUUGGCACAUUAACUUCUUAUUUCUGUGCUUCGUAAGCAAAAUAG
Molecule: unclassified non-coding RNA, 326 nt
Filed under: Hevea brasiliensis (rubber tree)
Lineage: Eukaryota; Viridiplantae; Streptophyta; Magnoliopsida; Malpighiales; Euphorbiaceae
Source: RNAcentral